GACGAACGCUGGCGGCGCGCUUAACACAUGCAAGUCGAACGGAAAGGCCUGCUUUCCCUUGUGGAUUGCGGGUACUCGAGUGGCGAACGGGUGAGUAACACGUGAGUGAUCUGCCCCCAACUUGGGUAUAAGCCUGGGAAACUGGGUCUAAUUCCCGAUAGGACUGCAGGGUGGUGCCUGUGGUGGAAAACGAUUUUCUAGUGGUUGGGGAUGAGCUCGCGGCCUAUCAGCUUGUUGGUGGGGUAAUGGCCUACCAAGGCGGCGACGGGUAGCCGGCCUGAGAGGGUGGACGGCCACAUUGGGACUGAGAUACGGCCCAGACUCCGACGGGAGGAAGCAGUGGGGAAUAUUGCACAAUGGGCGGAAGCCUGAGGCAGCGACGCCGCGUGGGGGAUGACGGCCUUCGGGUUGUAAACUCCUUUCGACCGCGAGGAAGCCACCUGGUUGGAAGGGUGGUGACGGUAGUGGUAGAAGAAGCACCGGCUAACUACGUG
Molecule: ribosomal RNA, 494 nt
Filed under: uncultured bacterium
Lineage: Bacteria
Description: partial 16S ribosomal RNA
Rfam family: Bacterial small subunit ribosomal RNA
Source: RNAcentral